This 2934-nucleotide long non-coding RNA is filed under the name Salvia miltiorrhiza (redroot sage). RNAcentral describes it as "long non-coding RNA (SMIL_LNC008986)". The record is from RNAcentral. Lineage: Eukaryota; Viridiplantae; Streptophyta; Magnoliopsida; Lamiales; Lamiaceae.
UCACACCCCAAUUCUUGAAUGAAUAAAUAUAAUCGGGGUACAACUAAUUCAUAGAAAUAAACAAGGAACAACCUUGUUAAAACCCGAAUAAUAAGAUAACAAGUCGGGUUAGGCCACUAUGGAUCACAAGUUUUGCUUCAUGUUUCUGACAACCGACGUUCAUUAACAUAGAACUAGAAAUUUUAAAUUGAAGCUCAACAUGAAGUCAUCUUAAGUUAAGAAAGCAAAAGAUGUAUAAGAGCUAUUACUAUAGCGGAAGUCUAUGUAGAAAUUGAACCCUAGCCUCAGCUCAGUCUCAUCACACCGGCCAGCCAAACUGAAAACAUUUGAAAGUAUUUUUGGGCUAAGUACUAAUGUACUCAGUGAGCAUGCAUUUUCAUAAACAUUUCAUAUUUUCGUAAAGACAGUUUAUCCAAUCAUACUUGACAUAACUUAGAAGGUUUUAAAGUGAAAUAACUUCUAAGCAUGUUAAAAUAAUUUCUUUCAUUUGUCCGCACAUGUCACACUCCCUUUCUGUUACUCGUUGUGAUCCCGGACCUUUUAACCACCGACGGAUCCAUUUCUCUCAUUGCACUUGCCCUGAGGACGUAACUCAGACAAGUUGAAUUGACCUCGGGACGCUACCUAGGCAGGCCCUUACAUUACAUGCUCCGUAACACAUCCCGUCGAGCACCCUUAUAACGCCUCUGGCCAGUGCCCAAUGGAGAUCAACCCACCAGGUCAGCUAGCAUGUGUACACGAUUCUCAGACAACGUGUUAGGUCAUAAGAGAACCUCAAUUGAUUAACUUUGCGAACCUUAAACAAAGCAGAGUGCACAUAAACAUUUUAUUGGAUAAACAGUUUGCAUUGCACUAAAUAAAUAGUUUGCAUUUCAUUGAAAUAUUUAGAGCUUAAUAACUCAAUAAUACUUUAUACAUUUGGAAAGUAAGCCCGCCUGAUUAGGCAAAGCCUGAAGAUCAUAAUCACAUAAAUUCAUCUCGGAGAAGCAGCGCUAAUCCUCUUGGUUUACAAAGCCUACAAAAAAUUCUACUCUUAAUAGGUCUCCGGAAUCUAAUCUUAAGUUAUAGUGUAGUGCUUAACAUUCUAUAUUCACUUAGCCGGGUUUUCAAAAAUUAAUGAAUAGAUAAUUGAAAACUAAAAUUCUAGAAUUUUCAAGUAGUGCUUACUCGGUUUUCUUAAAUAAUUGAAUUUAUAAAUAAACUCAAUUAAAUCAUAAAUACUUAUUGCAUAAUGCAAGUGCAAAUGCAAAUUCAUUUCAUGCUUAACUUGUAUAAUAAUACGUAAUUACACUUAAUGCAAUCAUCUUCUAAAGUAAUUAAUCGAACUCAAUUACAAAGUCAAAAUAAUAAAUUAAUUAAACAAGUCCAACAUUUUAAAUAAAGGCCAAGCCUAACAAUUAAAUAUAGGCAGCCUAUUUCAUUAUUAAAAAUCGCAGGGCCCAAAACUUAUUGAAAGAAAUCGGCCCAGUUGAUUGUAUAAGGGACAGCCCAUGCUAUUAAUAAUUAAAUCGGGCCCAAUCAAAAAUAAUCUCAGCCCAACUCCUUUACAAAUUUCGGUCCAGAUUUCUAAGGCCCAAACUUGCCCUAAAUCCCUUCUUCCUUUUUCUUCAACCAAAUCUGCCGCUCACACACACACAUCUCGUCUCUCCCUUUCUCUCCUCGGUUCAGGCAGUCCGCCCCCUUCUCCCUCAGAAUCUGCCGCCGAGCAGAUCGCCGGAGGAGCAGCGGCGAGAAGCCGCCGCCACCACCUUUCCCUCUCCUCAGACACUGAGCCCCUGUAACACCCCCACCAUUCCCUCUGCUCUCUCUUCUCCCUCAUCUCCGGCAACUCAAAGGACGGUCCACACACACGCCUAAACGAUGAAGCGGCGUUGAGAAUCGCCCCCCUCCGUCUCCCUCCUUGGCGACGGCGAAGCGCCGCCGCCUCCCUCGAUCCCUCUCUCCUUGAUUUUCGGUGUCUACAACUAAGGAUCACCGCCAAACUCUCCAGACCUCAAAAUCGACUCCCUUCUCUCGAAUCCGGCGACCACAGAACAGCCAUGGCCGCCGCCGUUCUCUCUCUCCCCUCCACUCAAAUCCGGUCGACAGCAGCGAAGGCCGCCACUGACCACCGCGCCCUGCCUCCCUCUGCUUUCUCAACUCAACAGCAACGACACCCUCCCCAUUCGCUCAGGACCGAAGAUUAAAACAGGGCUUCAAGACUAAAUCUUUUCUUUUCCUUUUAUUAAAAAAAACCAUGUUUCAUAUGUAGUAUGUAAACACAGAUGGUAUGCACAUGUAUAUGAAUGCCAUUUGUUCAAAAGUUUUGGUUCAAUUUAUAUGUGAAAGUAAGUGACAUGCAUACACAAAAACAGGAAUUGUUGUCUGCUGCACAUUAGAGACAUGAAUACUGGAGGAAAUCGCUGAAACUGAAUUUGGGGUGCUAACCGUGAAUGGAGGUAAAAUGGGCAGAGUGGUUUGUAGAUGAAGUCUUUAGAGCUUUCAGCUGAGUUUGCGGAGUGAAACGUGUGGUAUAGCUGAACUUGAACUUUCAGCUGAGUUUGCGGAGUGAAACGUGUGGUAUAGCUGAACUUGAACUUCUGUGGGUGGAGCUCUGCACUUAGUUCCUUGGUAUGUUGGAAUAAGAGAGUAAAUUGAAAGAGAAAUGAGAUAAGGUCUUACCAAGUGGAAGGGAAUGGGUCUUUUGUUGGAGUAUAAUGACUUCGCAGAGAAGUUUGGGUAUAUUUGAUUGUUGCUUUAGGCACGGCUAAAGCUUUACUUUUGGAGUUGAUUGGAUUGACAAGGGAUGGUGUAGGGUGGCUGGUAGGGAGGUAGAGUAUUGGGUGUGGAUUUGACAAUCAAAACUGUAGGGAUGAAAUAGCGAAUAUGUAAAAAAUCAUCGGGGUUCGCUAAUUAAAAGUUCGUGUAAAUGUUUAAUCUAUACAUAAUAUAAAU